Non-coding RNA from Pogona vitticeps (central bearded dragon), 1458 nucleotides. The record is from RefSeq and is a predicted model, not a curated record. Lineage: Eukaryota; Metazoa; Chordata; Lepidosauria; Squamata; Agamidae.
GCAAACAUCGCAAAGGGGAAACGAAAGAGACCAUUCUCCGGCCUUCGCAAUCACCGCAGUCAGAAAAGGGGAGAACUGCCUGCUACAGACCCCGUCACCACAGGCUUGCGGGAUCCAUUUAUUAAUUUUAUUAUUUAUUUAGAAUAUUGUUUUAACCCAUCCUUCCUCUUUAGAAGGACCGAUCGCUCCAAUUUCGCCUUACGGACACCGCCCCCCCCCGCCCCCGGGACUUUCUAGGGCCGAAAUCGAAGCGGUGAGGAGCCGGGCAACCCAUAAACGGACAAGCAAUCGAAUAUAUUAACAUGAAAGUUUCAUCGUGACUUCGAGCUUGGAAAUGUUCCCUUUUGGGUGACAACUUGCAGAAUCCUGCCACCAUCAUUGAUACUGGCUAUGCAGUCUAGAGGAUUCUGCACACUCCACCAGUCCCAAAUGAUUUCACAAGACAACCACUGGGAAAGAAAUGAGUGAAAGACUUUAAGAGAGGAAUGGCUAUGGUCUUCUUUCAGUGCUUCUUAACAUACAAUGUGGAGAGUCUGCUUGUCUACAUUUUCUGUCCUUUCCCUCUUCCCCUGCCCUUCGUGUUCCCUGGAUCUGAAAUUAGCAGAGUUGCAGCCAUGAGACGGCAAUGAUCAAUGACUUCCCAGCAGGACAACCAAGGAAGAUUCAUUUCUGAAUGAAGAGCAUAUUCUUCUUUGUCUUCCUUAGUUUUUCUUUCUCUUUCCACACUUCUAAUUGCAAAGUGUGAAUUCCAUGCGCAGUACGAGGGAUCUGUGAGGGUUCUGCGCAGUUUAGUUCAGGGUUGUUGCUCUGCCUCGUGGCUGGUUCAGAAAUGCACAAAUAUCUCUGAUGCAGUUUGUAUUUACACCUUUAUCUGAAGGCACAUACUUCCUGCUGACACACCUCACUCCAAGUCCUUAAUGACACACCAGAUGGCACCAUAUACACGUUAAAUAGCUCUGAGAAGAUCAGCCUCUGUUGCACCCUGGUUAGCUGAAAUCAUAAAGUGAGGGUGGGCAAAGAGCAGGAAGAUAUGUGAUCCUCAAAGCAGGAUCAAGGCAAAUUGAUCUUACAACACUGACCGGCGGUGCCACUGAGCGGUGGUGCUGGUAUGUUCUGUCAAAUUAUUUCCAACUGAAGGCAAUCCUAUGAGUGAAUGGCCUUCAGCUGGUGCUACCAUUAAUAGCUCUGCUCAGGUCUUACAUGCUGAAGACCAAUGUUACCUCUUAAUUUUUUUUGCUAGCCCUGCUCUGCUUGCUCAGGGUUCCGGCUGCAACUGGAAGCAAAGGAGCAGCAACACUGGCUUAGCUGUGCGGUCCUGAUGCAGCACUGCACAGCCAUGAGGCUUAUAAGGAACGUUGCUGAAGACCAUGGCUUCCUUUAGUCGAUCUAUCAUACAUUUAGUCUUCCUCUUUUCCUACUCCCUUCAGCUUCCAUUCAUGUUUUGGUAGAUAAUGCAGU